CCACAUUACAUUGAAACACCAGUUCCCUUAUGAUCACUGAAGUUAAGCAAUUUUGAGCCUGGUUAGUAGCUAAGUGGGUAGCUGCUUGGGAAUGCCAGAUGCUGUAAG
This is a non-coding RNA of Acanthosepion pharaonis, 108 nucleotides long. The record is from the annotation of a GenBank genome assembly. NCBI's taxonomy places the organism in Eukaryota, Metazoa, Mollusca, Cephalopoda, Sepiida, Sepiidae.